CCUAGAGUUAGGUGGGUGCCUUCGGCAAAAAAAGAGACAGGUGCCGCAUGGUUUUUUUCAGCCCCGUGUCUUGAGAUUUUGGGUUAUGUCCCCUAACGAGCGCACCCCUCUCCCUUAGUUAUCAGCACGUAAUGGUGGGCACUCUAAGGAGACUGCCGGUGACAAACCGGAGGAAGGUGGGGAUGACGUCAAGUCAUCAUGGCCCUUACGGCUUGGGCUACACACGUGCUACAAUGGUCGGUACAGAGGGUUGCCAAGCCGCGAGGUGGAGCUAAUCCCACAAAACCGAUCGUAGUCCGGAUCGCAGUCUGCAACUCGACUGCGUGAAGUCGGAAUCGCUAGUAAUCGCGAAUCAGAAUGUCGCGGUGAAUACGUUCCCGGGCCUUGUACACACCGCCCGUCACACCAUGGGAGUGGGUACCACCAGAAGUAGCUUAGUUAACCCUUAAGGAGGCACG
RNAcentral lists this ribosomal RNA (458 nucleotides) under Pseudomonas gessardii. RNAcentral describes it as "bacterial SSU rRNA". It matches the Rfam family "Bacterial small subunit ribosomal RNA", at positions 999 to 1453 of the family's 1533-position model. Lineage: Bacteria; Pseudomonadati; Pseudomonadota; Gammaproteobacteria; Pseudomonadales; Pseudomonadaceae. The record is from RNAcentral.